This 497-nucleotide ribosomal RNA is filed under the name uncultured bacterium. RNAcentral describes it as "partial 16S ribosomal RNA". It matches the Rfam family "Bacterial small subunit ribosomal RNA", at positions 28 to 507 of the family's 1533-position model. The record is from RNAcentral.
GAUGAACGCUGGCGGCGUGCCUAACACAUGCAAGUCGAGCGAACAGACGAGGAUCUCGCUCCUCUUACGUUAGCGGCGGACGGGUGAGUACUACGUGGAUACCUUAUCUAUAAGACUGAGAUAACUUCGGGAGACCUGAUCCAACACCGGACAAUAUAUUGAACCGCAUGGUUCUAUAGUGCAAGCCGUUUUUGCUGUCACUUAUAGAUGGUUCCGCGCCGCAUUAGCUAGUUGGUAAGGUAACGGCUUACCAAGGCAACGAUGCGUAGCCGACCUGAGAGGGUGAUCAGCCACACUGGAACUGAGACACGGUCCAGACUCCUACGGGAGGCAGCAGUAGGGAAUCUUCCGCAAUGGGCGAAAGCCUGACGCAGCAACGCCGCGUGAGUGAUGAAGGUCUUCGGAUCGUAAAGCUCUGUUAUUAGGGAAGAACAGAUGUAAAAGUAACUAUGCACGUCUUGACGGUACCUACACAAAAAGCCACGGCUAACUACGUG